Molecule: ribosomal RNA, 492 nt
Filed under: uncultured bacterium
Lineage: Bacteria
Description: partial 16S ribosomal RNA
Rfam family: Bacterial small subunit ribosomal RNA
Source: RNAcentral
AGUGAACGCUGGCGGUAGGCCUAACACAUGCAAGUCGAACGGCAGCACAGUAAGAGCUUGCUCUUACGGGUGGCGAGUGGCGGACGGGUGAGGAAUACAUCGGAAUCUACUUUUUCGUGGGGGAUAACGUAGGGAAACUUACGCUAAUACCGCAUACGACCUACGGGUGAAAGCAGGGGAUCUUCGGACCUUGCGCGAUUGAAUUAGCCGAUGUCGGAUUAGCUAGUUGGCGGGGUAAAGGCCCACCAAGGCGACGAUCCGUAGCUGGUCUGAGAGGAUGAUCAGCCACACUGGAACUGAGACACGGUCCAGACUCCUACGGGAGGCAGCAGUGGGGAAUAUUGGACAAUAGGCGCAAGCCUGAUCCAGCCAUACCGCGUGGGUGAAGAAGGCCUUCGGGUUGUAAAGCCCUUUUGUUGGGAAAGAAAAGCAGCAGGUUAAUACCCCGCUGUUCUGACGGUACCCAAAGAAUAAGCACCGGCUAACUUCGUG